GUCUCCCUUUCUCUACAUACCUUUACCCUCACCGUUCAACCCCAUCCACAGCACAACCUCGUCGUUCUCUCUGGCGAUAUUCAGACUAAUAUUCACUCACGUCUGCCAGUUGUCAAGUAAUAUGUGUUUUUUCCGGCUUAUGGUUGCGUGGGAAGAUAAGGUUUGAUAAGAGAAAGCCAAAGCUAAGAUCUUUGUUAUUCCAAAGAUGAAGGGUUUCUAGUAUGUGGUGUUGUUUUUGUUGUUACACAGCCAAAAAAGAUAACGGUUUCUUGGUGUUUGAAGCUUACAUUCAAGGACUAAAAUAAAAGGAUGGGGAAAUGUUGAUCACAUUUUAGUGGAUUGCCCUUCGUGCGGUUCAGGGGACGAAGAUGUUGAUCACAUUUUAAUGGAUUCUUCUCGGGCUAGAGACGUGUGGGGCAUUAUUUUUUAUUUGGUCGAUUGCCCACGUCUGCUAUCGGGAACAAAGUUAACGACCUCAUCCAACUCGCGAAAAAUUGGUCUUCAGAUCUGAAGAUGAACAAGGUUCUACGGUUCUUUAUGCGACAGUUUGGAGGUUAUGGCGAUCUCAGAAUGGGAAUAUGUUUAAUGGGAAGAACACCCUGAUGAGGAAGUAAAGACGGAGUUUUCUUAUACUUAUCCAAUCGUUCAAAGGUGUCUGCUGAAUGGAGCAAAUGGUGCAGCUUCCCUGUGGCUAAUUGUAAUCUGUUUUGGCUUUGAAGUUCUUGUUUGUAUGUUUUGGUUUUUUGUACUUGCUGGACACCUCCUCUUCUUGCUGAGUGGAGUAAUAUGUUUCACACUUUCAUGUUGUUACAAUUUGUUGUAUGUUAAUGCAUUACUUGAUUAACA
Molecule: long non-coding RNA, 846 nt
Filed under: Helianthus annuus (common sunflower)
Lineage: Eukaryota; Viridiplantae; Streptophyta; Magnoliopsida; Asterales; Asteraceae
Description: hypothetical non coding rna
Source: RNAcentral